This 871-nucleotide ribosomal RNA is filed under the name Massariosphaeria clematidis. Its description in RNAcentral is "partial large subunit ribosomal RNA". It matches the Rfam family "Eukaryotic large subunit ribosomal RNA", at positions 38 to 930 of the family's 3401-position model. The record is from RNAcentral. Lineage: Eukaryota; Fungi; Ascomycota; Dothideomycetes; Pleosporales.
GCAUAUCAAUAAGCGGAGGAAAAGAAACCAACAGGGAUUGCCUUAGUAACGGCGAGUGAAGCGGCAAUAGCUCAAAUUUGAAAUCUGGCUCUUGGGCCCGAGUUGUAAUUUGUAGAGGGUGCUUUGGAGUUGAAUGCGGUCCAAGUUCCUUGGAACAGGACGUCACAGAGGGUGAGAAUCCCGUACGUGGUCGCCAAUCUUCUCCAUGUAAAGCCCCUUCAACGAGUCGAGUUGUUUGGGAAUGCAGCUCUAAAUGGGAGGUAAAUUUCUUCUAAAGCUAAAUACUGGCCAGAGACCGAUAGCGCACAAGUAGAGUGAUCGAAAGAUGAAAAGCACUUUGGAAAGAGAGUCAAAAAGCACGUGAAAUUGUUGAAAGGGAAGCGCUUGCAGCCAGACUUGCCUGUAGUUGUUCACCUGUGCGAAUAGCACGGGGUAUUCUUCUGCAGGCAGGCCAGCAUCAGUUUAGGCGGCUGGAUAAAGACCUCUGGAACGUACCUUCCUUUGGGUUGGCCUUAUAGGGGAGGUGUCAUGCAGCCAGCCUGAACUGUGGUCCGCGCAUUUGCUAGGAUGCUGGCGUAAUGGCUGUAAGCGGCCCGUCUUGAAACACGGACCAAGGAGUCUAACAUCUAUGCGAGUGUUUGGGUGUCAAGCCCGAACGCGCAAUGAAAGUGAACGGAGGUGGGAACCCUUUGGGUGCACCAUCGACCGAUCCUGAUGUCUUCGGAUGGAUUUGAGUAAGAGCAUAGCUGUUGGGACCCGAAAGAUGGUGAACUAUGCUUGAAUAGGGUGAAGCCAGAGGAAACUCUGGUGGAAGCUCGCAGCGGUUCUGACGUGCAAAUCGAUCGUCAAAUUUGGGCAUAGGGGCGAAAGA